AGUACACCUCCGAUCGGUGGCCAAACCGAUCCGGUGUCAUGAAUACCCCCAAGUGCCGUGACUAAGUCAUGCUGGUAUGCUCAAACAAAAACGAACCCGGCUAAAGCCGGUGCCUAGGCCGAAGCCAACAAUGAGGGCGUACAAUGCCAAACUAAAAUAGAUACUAGGGCGUACAACGCCGAACCUCGAUCAACCAGAUCGAAACACACGACAAGAGAGUCGAUGUGUUGCCUGGACCCAAGGUCCACAGA
RNAcentral lists this long non-coding RNA (251 nucleotides) under Ananas comosus (pineapple). RNAcentral describes it as "long non-coding RNA (ACOM_LNC043069)". Lineage: Eukaryota; Viridiplantae; Streptophyta; Magnoliopsida; Poales; Bromeliaceae. The record is from RNAcentral.